AACGAACGCUGGCGGCAUGCCUAACACAUGCAAGUCGAACGAGACCUUCGGGUCUAGUGGCGCACGGGUGCGUAACGCGUGGGAACCUGCCCUUAGGUUCGGAAUAACUCCCCGAAAGGGGUGCUAAUACCGGAUAAUGUCUUCGGACCAAAGAUUUAUCGCCUUUGGAUGGGCCCGCGUUGGAUUAGCUAGUUGGUAGGGUAAAAGCCUACCAAGGCGACGAUCCAUAGCUGGUCUGAGAGGAUGAUCAGCCACACUGGGACUGAGACACGGCCCAGACUCCUAGGGGAGGCAGCAGUGGGGAAUAUUGGAAAAUGGGCGAAAGCCUGAUCCAGCAAUGCCGGGUGAGUGAUGAAGGCCUUAGGGUUGUAAAGCUCUUUUACCCGGGAUGAUAAUGACAGUACCGGGAAAAUAAGCCCCGGCUAACUCCGU
RNAcentral lists this ribosomal RNA (432 nucleotides) under uncultured bacterium. RNAcentral describes it as "partial 16S ribosomal RNA". It matches the Rfam family "Bacterial small subunit ribosomal RNA", at positions 29 to 506 of the family's 1533-position model. The record is from RNAcentral.